RNAcentral lists this ribosomal RNA (340 nucleotides) under uncultured archaeon. RNAcentral's name for it is "bacterial SSU rRNA". It matches the Rfam family "Archaeal small subunit ribosomal RNA", at positions 1103 to 1445 of the family's 1478-position model. The record is from RNAcentral.
CCGCCACUGUUUAAAGUGGAGGAAGGAGGGGGGCAACGGUAGGUCAGUAUGCCCCGAAUCUCCCGGGCUACACGCGCGCUACAAAGGCCAGGACAAUGGGCUUCGACACCGAGAGGUGAAGGCAACCCCCAAACCUGGUCGUAAUUCGGAUUGAGGGCUGCAAUUCGCCCUCAUGAAGCUGGAAUACGUAGUAAUCGCGGGUCAACAUCCCGCGGUGAAUAUGCCCCUGCUCCUUGCACACACCGCCCGUCAAACCACCUUAGUUGGGUCUGGACGAGGGUUUGUCUUUUGACACGCUCGAAUCUGGGUUCAGCGAGGAGGGUUAAGUCGUAACAAGGUA